GAUGAAGAACGUAGCUAAAUGCGAUAAGUAAUGUGAAUUGCAGAAUUCAGUGAAUCAUCGAAUCUUUGAACGCACAUUGCGCCCGGCAGUACUCUGCCGGGCAUGCCUGUUCGAGCGUCAUUUCAACCCUCAAGCCCUGCUUGGUGUUGGGGUCCCACGGCCGCCGUGGGCCCUGAAAGGAAGUGGCGGGCUCGCUACAACUCCGAGCGUAGUAAUUCAUUAUCUCGCUUAGGGCGUUGGGCGGCGCUCCUGCCGUUAAAGAACCAUCUUUAACUCAAGGUUGACCUCGGAUCAGGUAGGAAUACCCGCUGAACUUAAGCAUAUCAAUAAGCGGAGGA
Molecule: unclassified non-coding RNA, 338 nt
Filed under: soil metagenome
Description: partial contains 5.8S ribosomal RNA, internal transcribed spacer 2, and large subunit ribosomal RNA
Rfam family: 5.8S ribosomal RNA (bases 1-120)
Source: RNAcentral